AGCAGCCGCGGUAAUUCCAGCUCCAAUAGCGUAUAUUAAAGUUGUUGCAGUUAAAAAGCUCGUAGUUGAAUUUCGAGAUCAAAUUGUUGGUCGUGCCUUGGUACGUACUGGCAUUAUUGGUUUCUCCCUUCUGACGAACCAAGAUGUCAUUAAUUUGGUGUCUUGGGGAAUCAGGACUGUUACUUUGAAAAAAUUAGAGUGUUUAAAGCAGGCUCGCGCUUGAAUACAUUAGCAUGGAAUAAUGAAAUAGGACGUUUGAUUCUAUUUUGUUGGUUUCUAGGAUCGACGUAAUGAUUAAUAGGGAUAGUUGGGGGCAUUAGUAUUCAAUUGUCAGAGGUGAAAUUCUUGGAUCUAUUGAAGACUAACUACUGCGAAAGCAUUUGCCAAGGAUGUUUUCAUUAAUCAAGAACGAAAGUUAGGGGAUCGAAGACGAUCAGAUACCGUCGUAGUCUUAACCAUAAACUAUGCCGACUAGGGAUCGGAUGAUGUUAAUUUUUUAAUGACUCAUUCGGCGCCUUACG
RNAcentral lists this ribosomal RNA (521 nucleotides) under uncultured Glomus. Its description in RNAcentral is "SSU rRNA". It matches the Rfam family "Eukaryotic small subunit ribosomal RNA", at positions 569 to 1092 of the family's 1831-position model. The record is from RNAcentral. Lineage: Eukaryota; Fungi; Glomeromycota; Glomeromycetes; Glomerales; Glomeraceae.